CCGGACGGCUGAGGGCGGGCGACGGGCGGCGCCGGCGGACGGGCCGCGACGCCAGGGAAGGUCAGGCGGCCCGGGGCGUCCUGCGACUGCCCGAGGUCGGAGGCCCGGAGGACCCGCCGCCGCCUUUGUGUCACCAGCCCCCGCCCCGCUGGACUGGCCCGGGCCGGGGCGGUUGGGCCGGCGCUGAAGAGGCUUGGCCGCCCGGGUCCACCCGUUCCCGGAUCCGCCUCGGCGGCCCCCGCGCCCGCCCAACCCCUGCCCAACCCCUCGGCUCCGCGAGUUUGGGUGAGAAGUGCGGCGGCUUUUCCCAGGGAUGGAGUUUAGAGGACGCUAAUCCUAUGUGCGAGCGGCGGACCCCGCCCGGAUUUCCCGGAGGCGCCCGGUUAGUGAGGCGACGGCGCCCACCCGCGUUCGCGGGCUCCCGACCGCCACUCCCCGGAGCCGCCGGCCCGCCCCAGCCCCGCGCGUCGCCCCGGAGGGCGGGCUGCACUCCCUCCACGCACCUGGCUGGCAGAGCGUCUCCAGGGACAAAAGGUGCCCUGGCAUCAAAGCCGAGCCCCCGCCCCCGCCGGGAUGCUGCCCUCCGGAAGGAGGGGCGCUGCCCCCAAGGUACUCUCCCCGGGCACCCAGGGGGAGGUUCCAUUUCAACCUCCGAUGAAAAACACGGCCCUCCCGGGUAUUUAGGAGGGUCUGAGGGUAAGUGCCAAGAUGGAGAAAACACACCGGCCCCUCACAGAGUAUCUCCUGAGGAAUGACAACUAUCUAGUGGGCAAGGAGGGCUUCCUGCAUAGCAGAGGGCACCCCCUCUGAUCCCCCAACGCCAAGGGAAAAAAAUCACUCUUCACCGGCUCCCCUGAGCCAGGACAGGCUCCAGUGCAGCCACCCACCUUAUAAUUUUCCGCGGAUGCUGCCUUGAUCAGAUAGAUCUGAAGAUGACUUUAAGGACUACAAGCAAAUCUCAAGGGAAAAAUUCAGACCUUGAACAACAGCCUUGAACUUUUUCAGGGUUAGACAAGUACUCCCCUGUGGAGUUUCUGCCCUUAUUUCUUCGUUCUUCUGUUAAUUCUUCCAUAUUUUAACAGAACACAGACCUGCCGAAACGACACAGGAUGGCGCUUUGCUUUUUGUUAGUUCUCCAACCUUCCAAACCCUUGGGGCACAUGCAAGCACUGUGGAAAAACUCCAUUAAACCAAGAGUCAUCUUACUCCAGAUCCCAGACUGCUUGGGAAGUUGGACAUGCAUAUUCCCAAAGAGAACAGUGUUGGAAGGAGACAGGAGAGCAGCUCGGGGGUUGGGGGUAGAGGGUAGGAAAAGAGGGCAAGAUGGAUGACUACCACUCGAGGCCAGCCUCCACUGCCUGUUAGGGCAGUAGAACCUAAGAGCCGGUCCAAGGCAACACAAAAGACAGUGAGGCUAGGUCUUUCAUUGCAGCCAACGAUCAAGAAAGCAACUCCAUCAAAUGACACUGUCUUUUAAAAAAAAAUUUUUUUUUUGAGACAGAGUCUCGCUCUGUCGCCCAGGCUGGAGUGCAGUGGUGCGAUCUUGGCUCACUGCAACCUCUGCCACCCGGGUUCAAGCAGUUCUCCCUGCCUCAGCCUCCUGAGUAGCUGAGAUUACAGGCACGCGCUACCAGGCCCGGCUAAUUUUUUUUUUUUUUGGUGGAGUCGAGGUUUUGCCAUGUUGGCCACGUUGGUCUCGAAUUCCUGACCUCAGGUGAUCCGCCCAUCUCAGCCUCCCAAAGUGCUGGGAUUUCAAGCGUUAGCCACCGCGCCCGACCAAAUGACACUGUCUUAAAUGAUUUAAUGUCUUAAAUCGGGAAAGGAGAGUAAGAGAAAGCACUCAACGGAGUCAGAGGUGUCUUGCAGCCUAGCUCUUUCCACAGACAAGCUACAUGGGCCUAUCAUCUAACCUUUUCAAGCUUCUCCGACUGCUUCUGUGUUGGAGGGAUUUGGGCUAGAGGAUCUUUUUAUUUUUUUUUAUUUUAUUUUGGUGACGGAGUCUCUCACUGUCGCCCGGGCUGAAGUGCAGUGGCGCAAUCUCAGCUCACUGCAACCUCUUUCUCCUGGGUUCACGCGAUUCUCCUGCCUCAGCCUCCCAACUAGCUGGGAUUACAGGCGCACACCACCACACCUGGCCUAUUUUUUGUAUUUUUAGUAGAGACGGGGUUUCACUAUGUUGGCCAGACUGGUCUCGAACUCCUGACCUCGUGAUCUGCCCACCUCGGCCUCCCAAAGUGCUGUGAUUACAGGCAUGAGCCACCGCACCUGGCCUGUGAUCCCAUUUUUCAAAGUAAUUAGGCUGGGUGCAGUAGCUCACGCCUGUAAUCCCAGCACUCUGGGAGGCCAAAGCGGGUGGAUCACUUGAGGCCAGCAGUUCGAGACCAGCCUGGCCAACAUGGUGAAACCCUGUGUCUACUAAAAAUACAAAAAUUAGCUCGGCAUAGUGGCACGUACCUGUACUUUCAGCUACUUGGGAGGUUGAGGCAGGAGAAUUCGCUUGAACCCGGGAGGCAGAGGUUGCAGUGAGCCAAGAUGGCACCACUGCACUCCAUUCUGGGUGACAGAGUGAGACCCUGUCUCAAAAAUAAUGAUAAUAAAAUAAAAGUAAUUAUUUAAGGCUGGGAGCGGUGGCUCAUGCCUGUAAUCACAGCACUUUGGGAGGCCGAGGUGGGUGGAUCAUGAGGUCAGGAGGUCGAGACCAUCCUGUCUAACACAGUGAAACCCUGUCUCUACUAAAAAUACAAAAAAAUUAGCCAGGCAUGGUGGCGGGCGCCUGUAGUCCCAGCUACUCGGGAGGCUGAGGCAGGAGAAUCGCUUGAACCCAGAAGGCGGAGGUUGCAGUAAGCCGAGAUCACACCACUGCACUCCAGCCUGGGUGACAGAGCGAGACUCCGUCUCAAAAAAAAUUAUUAUUAUUAUUUAAAAUAAUCAUUGGGCCUGGUGCGGUGGCUCACACCUGUAAUCCUAGCACUUUGGGAGGCCAAGGCGGGCGGAUCACGAGGUCAGGAGAUUGAGAUCCAACCUGGCCAACAUGGUGAAACCCCAUCUCUACUAAAAAUAUUUUUUUAAUUAGCUGGGCGUGGCGGCGGGCACCUGUAAUCCCAGCUAGUCGGGAGACUGAGGCAGGAGAAUCGCUUGAACCUGGGAGUCGAAGGUUUCAGUGAGCCGAGGUCGUGCCACUGCAAUCCACCUGGCCAACAGAGCAAGACUCUGUCUCUAAAAUAAUAAUUUUUAUUAUUGUUAUUCUUGACAGGCCAGUGUAGAACAGGUGGGGCAUCUAUGGUGACAGAACUGGGUUCCAAUUCUGUCCCUUCACCUGUCCCAGGUUCCUCAUCUGAAAACUGUGACCCAGUAAACCUAAUUUCAUGAGCAGCUUUCAUUAAAAUUGAAAUAAUGGUGGAAAAUGCCUUGUAACCGUGCUUGAUGUAGAGUAGUUACUUAGCCAGUUAUUUCCUCUCUUCUUCCCAUUCCUAACAAAAUGGAAAAACGUUUGGUUGCUAGGAAAGAGCCUUAAGGGGAUUUUGUUGUUGUUUGACUCUAUCGCCCAGGAUGGAGUGCAAUGGCACAAUCUCUGCUCAGUGCAACCUCCGCCAUAGACAGGAGCCAAGCGUAGUGGUGUGCACCUGUCGGUAGUUCCAGCCUCUUAGGAGGCUGAGGCAGGAGGAUUGCUUGAGGCCAGGAGUUUGAGUCUAGCUUGGGCAAUAUAUUGAAACCUUGUCUCUUAAAAAAAAAAAAAAAAAAGAGGCCAGGUGUGGUGGCUCACACCUGUAAUCCCAGCACAUUGGGAGGCCGAGGCAGUGGAUCACUUGACACCAGGAGUUCGAGACCAGCCUGGGCAACAUGCAAACUUAUGUCUUUUAGGCCGGGCGCGGUGGCUCACACCUGUAAUACCAGCACUUUGGUAGGCCGAGGCGGGCAGAUCACGAGGUCAGGAGAUCGAGACCAUCCUGGCUAAGAUGAAACCCAGUCUCUACUAAAAAUAAAAAAAAAUUAGCCGGGUGUGGUGGCUGGCGCCUGUAGUCCCGGCUACUUGGGAGGCUGAGGCAGGAGAAUGGCAUGAACCCAGGAGGUGGAGUUUGCAGUAAGCCAAGACAGCACCACUGCACUCCAGCCCAGGCAACAGAGCUAGACGCCCUCUCAAAAAAAAAAAAAAAUUACAUCUUUAAAAAAAAAUGCAGGGCCGGGUGCGGUGGCUCAUGCCUGUAAUCCCAGCACUUUGGGAGGCCGAGGCGGGCGAAUCACGAGGUCAGGAGAUCGAGAGCAUCCUGGCUAACACAGUGAAACCCUGUCUCUAGUAAAAAUACAAAAAAUUAGCCAGGCGUGGCAGCAUGCGUCUGUAGUCCCAGCUGCUGGGGAGGCUGAGGCAGGAGAAUGGCGUGAACCCAGGAGGCAGAGCUUGCAGUGAGCCAAGGUCCCGCCACUGCACUCCAGCCUGGGCGACAGAGCGAGACUCGGUCUCAAAAAAUAAUAAUUAACAAAAAAAAAAAAAUACAAAAGUUAGUUGCACAUGUUGCCAUAUGCUCGUGGUCCCAGCUACUCAGCAGGCUGAGGUUGGGAGAUCACUUGAGCCCAGAAGGUGGAGGUUGCAGUGAGCUGAGAACCCACCAUUGUACUCCAGCCUGCGUGUCAGUGAGAUUCUGUCUCAAAAAAAAAAAGAAAAGAAAAAAAAUCUAGGCUAUGCUCCCUAGUAUGGGAAAUCUAGUCUAGUCAUUUGACAGAAUCAGGCUUUGCAGGCCAUAUUGUCUCUGUCGUAACUACCAACUCUGCUGGUUAAAAGGGAAGUAGCCACAAACAAUAUCUGAAUGAUGGAUUAUGGCUGUGUUCCAAUAAAACUUUAUUUGCAAAAACAGGUUGCUGGUUGCAAGGUAGUUUUCCAACCUCUACGUGAUUCUCAGACUUUAGGUUGCAUCAUAAUCACCUGGAGGGCUUGUUCAAACGCAGAUUGCUGGGCCCCACCCCCAGAAUUUUUGAUUCAGCCAGUCUGGGGUGGGGCUGAUAUUUGUAUUUCUACCAACUUUCCAGGUGAGGCUGGCUGAUGAUGGUCUGGAAACCACUUUGAAAACCUCUGAAGCUUUUCUCAACUCCCUUCUUUGUGUACCUAAAACACUUUAUCCCUACUGUAGAUGUAGCAUUAGCGUGUUAUAUUAGUUUAGUGAUUGGUGUGUGGGUCUCUGGGAGCCUUUCUGAAUCACCUCCCUAGCCUAGUGCCUGACAAUAGCAAUUUGCUCCCCAUUCAUUGACUGAACUGAAACCGGAGGGUCAUGGUCAUCAUCAUUGUUCCAAGCCAUAGAUAGAAGAUGAAGUCACCACCCCUGAUCUCAGAGCUCAUCAGAGUAGAGCUUGGGCUGGACCCUGCCCUUCUCUGCAGUGAGCAGUUUUCUCUGUGGAGCUCUGUGCAACCUGGAGCCAGUCCUGCCUGGGGUAAGAGGAAAAAAGACUCCUUCCCCCCAGCCCCACAGCCUGUACGCAAACACACCGGGAGACAUGACCUGCUCAGAGGAGACCUGGAACCAAGGGAAUAAAAUGAGAGUGGGUUGGGGGCUGCUGUUAGUUAUUUUUUGCUUGUAAGUGGACAAUUUGUGGUGUGGUGUGUGAAUUUGGGGUCUUAAAUCCAGAUAGCUGUCUGCUGUGGACAGCCACUGUUUCUGAAUUACAGGGCAUUUCAAGUGACCUGUGGUCAGGAUGUUUUCUCAGAUCAGGCAAAAUCAAUUGGUCCUGAUAAUAACCAGGGGAGUUGUACUUUCCCUAUCUUGAGUAGAAGAAGCCACAGCUCCCGGGUCCACCUGCCU
This 5789-nucleotide long non-coding RNA is filed under the name Homo sapiens (human). Its description in RNAcentral is "non-protein coding lnc-IMPDH1-3:3". The record is from RNAcentral. Lineage: Eukaryota; Metazoa; Chordata; Mammalia; Primates; Hominidae.